CAAAAACAUUUUUAUUAGAAAUUAUGAAUAAUACAAUCUGCUCAAUGAAUAUUAAAUAGCCGCUUAUAGUGCUAAGGUAGCAUAAUCAUUUGUCUUUUAAUUAAAGGCUAGAAUAAAAGAUUAUUCAUUUAAAUUUAUUUUAUUAAAUAAAUUUAAAAAUUAUUUUAAUUGUAAAAAAACAAUUAUAUAAAUGAAAGACGAUAAGACCCUAUUAAAUUUUACUUUUGUUUAACUGGGGAAGUUAAAUAAAUAUCAUUUUAUUUUAAAUAUAAAAUAAAUUGAUCUAACUUAAUUAAUUUUCUGAUUAAAUUACUAUAGGGAUAACAGCAUAAUAGAAUUUUUAAGUUCUUAUUUAAAAUAAUGUUUAUGACCUCGAUGUUGAUUUAAUAUUCUUAUUUAUGUAAUAGUAAAUAAAGAAAGUCUGUUCGACUUUUAAUUAAUUACAUGAUCUGAGUUCAAACCGGAG
RNAcentral lists this ribosomal RNA (466 nucleotides) under Gephyroctenus sp. RNAcentral's name for it is "partial large subunit ribosomal RNA". Lineage: Eukaryota; Metazoa; Arthropoda; Arachnida; Araneae; Ctenidae. The record is from RNAcentral.